CUCGUAGGCGGGCGUCUAAGUCAGGGGUGAAAUCCCGAGGCUCAACCUCGGAAUUGCCUUUGAUACUGGAUGUCUCGAGACCGGAAGAGGUGAGUGGAACCGCGAGUGUAGAGGUGAAAUUCGUAGAUAUUCGCAAGAACACCAGUGGCGAAGGCGGCUCACUGCUCCGGUUCUGACGCUGAGGCGCGAAAGCGUGGGAGCAAACA
This 206-nucleotide ribosomal RNA is filed under the name uncultured bacterium. Its description in RNAcentral is "partial 16S ribosomal RNA". It matches the Rfam family "Bacterial small subunit ribosomal RNA", at positions 568 to 774 of the family's 1533-position model. The record is from RNAcentral.